Molecule: ribosomal RNA, 497 nt
Filed under: uncultured bacterium
Lineage: Bacteria
Description: partial 16S ribosomal RNA
Rfam family: Bacterial small subunit ribosomal RNA
Source: RNAcentral
GAUGAACGCUGGCGGCGUGCCUAACACAUGCAAGUCGAGCGGACAGACGAUGCUCUUGCUCGGCUGACGUGAGGGGCGGGCGUGUGAGUCACACGAGUAUACCCGACCUAUAAGGCUGAGAUCACUACGGGAAAGCGGAUAUCACACCCGAUAAGAUCUUGAACCGGGGGGUUCUUUGGAAAUCUACGGUUUUGCUGUCCCUAAUUGCGGGUUACGGGCUGUAUUGGGUGGUUGGUAAGGUAACGGCCUACCAAGGCUAGUCUGCGUAGCCGACGUGAGAGGGUGAUCGGCCACACUGGAACUGAGACACGGUCCAGACUACUACGGGAGGCAGCAGUGGGGAAUCUUCGGCAAUGGGCGAAAGCAUGACGCAGCAAUGCCGCGUGUGUGACGAAGGUCUUCGGAUCGUAAAGCCCUCUUAUUAGGGAGGAACAGCUGUGGAAUUAAACAUGGCUGUUUUGACGGUACCUACUAAAAAAGCACCGGCUAACUACGUG